RNAcentral lists this ribosomal RNA (710 nucleotides) under uncultured Chryseolinea sp. RNAcentral's name for it is "bacterial SSU rRNA". It matches the Rfam family "Bacterial small subunit ribosomal RNA", at positions 94 to 803 of the family's 1533-position model. Lineage: Bacteria; Pseudomonadati; Bacteroidota; Cytophagia; Cytophagales; Fulvivirgaceae. The record is from RNAcentral.
AGUGACGUACGGGUGCGUAACACGUAUGCAACCUACCCUUUACAGGCGGAUAGCUCGGGGAAACUCGAAUUAACCCGCCGUAACAUAUCGGAGAGGCAUCUUUUUGAUAUUAAAUCUGAGGAGGUAAAGGAUGGGCAUGCGUCUGAUUAGUUAGUUGGCGGGGUAACGGCCCACCAAGACGAUGAUCAGUAGGGGAACUGAGAGGUUGAUCCCCCACACUGGCACUGAGAUACGGGCCAGACUCCUACGGGAGGCAGCAGUAGGGAAUAUUGGUCAAUGGAUGGAAGUCUGAACCAGCCAUGCCGCGUGCAGGAAGAAGGCCUUCUGGGUUAUAAACUGCUUUUGCCAGGGGCUAAAAAGCUCAUGCGUGAGAAAUUGAAAGUACCUGGUGAAUAAGCCACGGCUAACUACGUGCCAGCAGCCGCGGUAAUACGUAGGUGGCAAGCGUUGUCCGGAUUUAUUGGGUUUAAAGGGUGCGUAGGCGGCUUUGUAAGUCAGUGGUGAAAUAUGGCAGCUUAACUGUCAGUGUGCCAUUGAUACUGCGGAGCUUGAGUACAGAUGAGGUAGGCGGAAUUGACGGUGUAGCGGUGAAAUGCUUAGAUAUCGUCAAGAACACCUAUAGCGAAGGCAGCUUACUAGGCUGUAACUGACGCUGAUGCACGAAAGUGUGGGGAUCAAACAGGAUUAGAUACCCUGGUAGUCCACACUGU